CAAACUAGACCUCGAUUACACAUCUGUGUUUUAGAGCACCGGGAGCAGUUCAGAUAUCUGCAUUUAUCCACAGGAAGUGCAAGAAUAUAAAGAGCAUGGAAUGGGAAAAGCUGAGGAACCACACGGGGUGUAACAUUUUUGCUUUCCACUCAUCUGAACUUUGAUUGAACUCCUGUGGAGAAAAUUCAGUCACCCCAGCCAUAAACUGUUCAGACUGCUUCCAUCAGGAAGGAGGUUCUGCAGCAUCCGGUCCCGUACCAGCAGACUGAGAGACAGCUUCUUCCAUCAGGCCAUCAGACUGCUGAACACGUCAUAGACACCUCAGCUUCACUACUGGAACUUCAACAUUAUGCACUCCACACUGUAUAUAAAUGCCACUUGUUUUGCACAUAUUCAACUCUGUAUAUUUUAUAUAUUUUAUUAUUAUUAUUUUUUUUUUUUUUUACUAUUUAAUUUGUAAAAAAUGUGUAUACACACACACACACACACACACACACACACACACACACACACACACACGUAGGAAAAUAUUUAGUAUACACAUCCAGAAAUGCAUACACUAUUAUAUAUUGUACAUAUAUUUAUUAGUUUCAGGUUGGCCAUUCUUGUAUUUUGCUCGUUUGUGUUGUUGUGUUUGCACAUCUCUGUUGCUUGUGGGGCUCGCACACAAGAAUUUCACUCGCAUGUGCUGUGCCAGUGUGCCUGCACAUGUGAUGUGACAAUAAAAG
Molecule: long non-coding RNA, 728 nt
Organism: Astatotilapia calliptera (eastern happy)
Lineage: Eukaryota; Metazoa; Chordata; Actinopteri; Cichliformes; Cichlidae
Source: Ensembl